GAUGAACGCUGGCGGCGUGCCUAAUACAUGCAAGUCGAGCGAACAGACGAGGAGCUUGCUCCUCUGACGUUAGCGGCGGACGGGUGAGUAACACGUGGAUAACCUACCUAUAAGACUGGGAUAACUUCGGGAAACCGGAGCUAAUACCGGAUAACAUGUUGAACCGCACGGUUCAACAGUGAAAGACGGUCUUGCUGUCACUUAUAGAUGGAUCCGCGCCGCAUUAGCUAGUUGGUAAGGUAACGGCUUACCAAGGCAACGAUGCGUAGCCGACCUGAGAGGGUGAUCGGCCACACUGGAACUGAGACACGGUCCAGACUCCUACGGGAGGCAGCAGUAGGGAAUCUUCCGCAAUGGGCGAAAGCCUGACGGAGCAACGCCGCGUGAGUGAUGAAGGUCUUCGGAUCGUAAAACUCUGUUAUUAGGGAAGAACAAAUGUGUAAGUAACUAUGCACGUCUUGACGGUACCUAAUCAGAAAGCCACGGCUAACUACGUG
RNAcentral lists this ribosomal RNA (497 nucleotides) under uncultured bacterium. RNAcentral describes it as "partial 16S ribosomal RNA". It matches the Rfam family "Bacterial small subunit ribosomal RNA", at positions 28 to 507 of the family's 1533-position model. The record is from RNAcentral.